RNAcentral lists this long non-coding RNA (5000 nucleotides) under Coffea arabica (coffee). Its description in RNAcentral is "long non-coding RNA (CARA_LNC000870)". The record is from RNAcentral. Lineage: Eukaryota; Viridiplantae; Streptophyta; Magnoliopsida; Gentianales; Rubiaceae.
UUUUUUUUUAUAAAUGAUAUGAUUCCAGAAAAUUAAGAAACAAUUCUGGGGCCGAGGACUUGAUGGAAGCGCAAGGACACCAGCAAUGCACGAGGCUGAUUCUAGUCCACUGACUUGGGAGGAGAUCUUAUCUUUCCGCUUCCGCCCCAAAGAAACGGCAAAGGCAGGAGUGGGACCUUCUUGUUUAUUUGAGGUGAAAAUCAACCGCUCAGAUUCCAGUUUUCAGGAAAAGAACAAGAAAUUCUGAACCCUUUAAUUCUACGUCGCGACACCGGCCCCGUGAAUGCUUGAAACUUCAAUUAGUCCUUGCUCCUUCAACAGAUAGUACAUAACAGAGAGCAAGCAAAUGAGGAAUGUCUCAUUGCUGCUUGUACCUGUCCUGUCCAGCGUAAGCAAAUCAGGAAUUUCUCGUUGCUGCCUACGCUUUCUGGUCGAAAUCAUUUAUUUAACGACAUUGCGGGUUUUUUCCAUCAUAGUUUUCUUGCUCUGUCUCCCAGAAUGGACCCAGUACUGGUUUUGUAGUGGAUGGUGGAUGGCUUGUAUAUUGUCUUUUUCUAGGGCGAAAGAGUGCGAGACUGAUAUUAGAUCCAGGGUAUGGGAGAGGAUCAGAGGAAGAAGAAGGCACAGGAGCUUUCAUGUCUCAAAUCUCUAUUCUCUGACCCUACGAGCACUUCAGUAUUCUGAAGAAAUCCCACUUGACUCACUGGUCCGGCACCAGUAGGCAGCCCUCAUUAGUUAUACCAACUUACACGGGUGUGAUGUCAAUUAUGGAUCUCAGCUUUAGUGCUUAUUACGUAUGUGGGUUGCACUUAUGAAAGCAUCCGACAUGCGCUGGUGCAAUCAAUCCUAGAUUCCAACAACACCAACUCAUAUGAUAUGAUGGGACCAGAUCAAGAUGUCUCCCCCAAUCAUUCAAGAUUCCCCUUGGAUUGGAUCACUACUGAAACUAUACCAAACCAAUAUAUCGAGAAUUUUCAGAGCGCACCACCAAUUCAACCAAUUUAAUUAUGCACACACAAAAUCUUCACCCAAGUGCAUACAUACAGUCCCCUUGCCCUUGUCGAUGAUGGUAAGACUGGAGGACUGUUGGUGCAUUCACGAGUCACCCCACGAUGAUUGAGGAUCAAAUGAGAUGUUAUGUCGGUGACUGAAUUUGAUUAAAACGACUGCCAUUUUCGGCAUCGAGACAGACAGUUUGCUGUCUUAUUCAUGGACCAUCUUGACUGGCUCUCGCUAGGGUCGAUCCAUCUACCAAUGAGGAAUGAGGAUCCUUCUUGGAGCGGGAUUUCACUACUAGCUUCUUUCCCAAACACCCUAAACUGAACUGAAGAAGGCAGGGCAACACAACACAUUAUGACGCCCAAAUUAACAAAUACUACACAUGAGGGAGGCAGGAAGAAAUACAAGCAGUGGAAAUAAAUACUCGUACAAUUAACAGCAAGCGCAACGCUCAGUUUCAUACAAACUUGUGUACUGACUAUUUUAUGAGUUAGGAAAGCUCGUGCAAACUCGUAGACCAUCUCAAACCAGAAUCAGAAUCACGUGGUGUAUUAGUAUUUACAACACGAAUGCUUCUUCGUCUCUCUCUCUUUUUUCUCCUCCCCCCACACCCCCCCCCCGCCCCACCAAAAACAACACAAUAAAACCCAUCUGCAGUUAUCUCUUGUUAUAUUUUUGUACCCAAUUUUCUACAGGAGCCUGUCCUUUUUUCCGUGUCUGUUGGUGAUAAUAUUGCUUAUGGCCUCCCAGAUGAUUAUGUAUCAAAGGAUGAUGUGAUAAAGGCAGCCAAAGCUGCAAAUGCUCAUGAUUUUAUAAUUUCAUUGCCACAGGUUGUCAUUUCGAAUAUGCUUGUUAUCUGUAUAAUUUUGCACAGUUUGUUUAGGUAUUAAAUAUUGAUGCAAUGGACAGGGUUACGACACUCUAGUUGGUGAGCGAGGGGGUCUGCUAAGUGGAGGGCAGAGGCAGGUAAUUAAAAGAUGGUUUGGUGUAUGCUUAUGGUUUGAGAGUUGUUUUACUGAAUACCCCUCACCAAAUUUGCAGAGAAUUGCCAUUGCAAGGGCUCUCCUUAAGAAUGCCCCAGUCCUUAUCCUUGAUGAGGUAUGCUUCUAGGCCAAUCCUAAUGCAUUGUGUGUUGUGUUUUACUUAAGGUAUAGAAAACAGAUACUCAUCCCCCAAGGCCAGUUAACAAACUAAUAUUGGGACAUCUAAGGGUCUGUAUGCCCGAAAGAGAAAGUUGAUCCACCAUAACUUGGGAUCUCAGGGGCUUAAUAUGCAGGAAGACUCAAUUUUUGUAUAUUUGAGAAACCAUAUGCUAGGAUUCCCAGGGCCUCGCAGUCAAAAGAACCUUAUCCAUUGGUUUGCUAUUGCUCAGAAUGGUAAAGGGCUCUUUCAUUUUGAUUGGGAAGUAACUUGGCCUGGAUUGUUAGAUACAUUGCAUUAUCAGCUGCAUUUCAGAUUUAAAGAUAGACAGUUUUACUCUGAACUAUUAACUCUACCUUGUGCUGAAUAAAUCAGUUUAUGCUUAUGCACUGCAGGCUACUAGUGCUUUAGACACAGUUAGUGAGCGCCUCGUCCAGAGUGCUCUGAACCGUCUGAUGAAGGGAAGAACAACGCUGGUUAUUGCUCACAGGUUGAGCACAGUUCAGAAUGCAAACCAAAUUGCCCUCUGUUCUAAUGGGAAGAUUGCGGAGUUAGGGACGCAUUCGGAGCUGUUAAGUAGGAGAGGCCAAUAUGCUUCUCUUGUUGGCACCCAGAGACUUGCAUUUGAAUGAUAGUGAAAUAGCAAUAAUCAAACCCUUGCCAUCUCAAACUGCAGAGCCCGUGAUUAUGUGAGUCUUUGGAAGAACCUUCAAAAAUAUAUUCUUUUUCCUCUAGGCUUUAACAAGCACACUCUUCUGGGGGUUUGGUUUUUUGGUUUUGGGGGGGGGGGUGUGAUUUAAAGGACGAGAAUGUAAGUGAGAAGUUUCGGGUUCAAGCCUUUCCACUUGCAUUACUUUAAAAAAAAAAAAAAAAAAAAGCACUCUCUUCUAAAAGACUUAAUUGCUUUGGUUAAUGGGAAUUUGUUCUGCUAUCUUUAACCAUUGGUUGCAUCUUAUCAAGCAGAGGAUGAGUUAAAGAUUAGAAUAGCUAUGUGAAAUAAAAUUCACAAGCACAGUCAAUAUAGAAUUCAUUCCAUGCUCGAUGCAGUAAUGAUAUAUGGAUUUUUUUUCCCCGGCAACUUGUCAGUUCUGUGCACAAUUACGUCUAAUUACUGCUUUCGAUAUUGGACAGCUAAUAUUCACAAUCUUGCUUUAUUUAUAAUAGCUGUUUGGAGAUUUGGAUGACAAGAGGAUUUUGAUGCCUACAUAAACGGUAUAGCUAAUGCCCAUGAAUUUCGUUGGUGGGCAAUUGAAAUAUGAAUAUUUUAUCACUUCAGAUCAAGUCUGAAUACUUUGCUCGACACAGCUGCGACCAUUCUAAAAUUGGGCCAAAACAAAAACAAAAACCUUUCUGCAAGUCAUCCUGCAUUGUUUCUCCGGCAAAGCUACAAUAAUGUUUUGAUCUUAGGCGAAUAGGUGGAGAGCCUUAUUUGUGUUGAUUAUUGUUUAUUUAGUGGAAACUGAGAUGAUAGCGUUCAACUCGGCAAAGCAUUCAGUCGGGGCCAAGGAAUGAAUUCAUAAAGAAGUCGUCAAUCGGUUGAACCAUGGCCACUCCAACUAGCCGGCAUCUUCCUCCUCCGUUUAAGCGCUCACCUCUUCCACUUCUGAUUGUUCCUUCUGAUCUUCAGAUGUUAACAGGUCCCUACCAGCAAAGGUGGAGCUUUAUAAAGCUUCCCAACUGAAAACCAGAAGCUAGCUUUGAACUCAAGCUCCGCCUUCACAAGAACAGCACCAAGUAAUUCUCAGAAACUACCGAAUUAUAAUACAAAAAAGGAAAGCAAUAGAAGCCGAGGGUCAUAGAAGACUACCUUGCCCGUUUCUUGAUUGAUGCUUCCCCGUAAUAUCUCUGGAGCAAUAUCAAUCCUGAGAAAAGGUGGCAAUGGCAGUCCCAUGAAUCUAGUUGUUGCAGUUGUGAGUGGUGGAAUAUAGAGGGUAUUCAAGUCGAAGUCAACAAAAAUGUCUCCAUCGGAUUCAUUGGAGUCGGUAUUUCUAUUUGUGCCCAUCCCACUACCGCUGCCCUCCUCGCGUUGUACUCGAAGUCGGGAUAUACGGAGAUACCGAGUUUGCAAGAUGCCAGCGUCUCGAAUUUGAUGUUAUACACGUCCCUUCUUGGUAAUUUUGAUUCAGUCAGCUGGGGGGCAGGAAUUGGUUGUUGUCUAUCCAGGUUCUUUUGGGAGGCGACCACAGUUGUCUUGCGUAUUCUAGAUUUUGGUAGAACUAAGGAUGAACUUGAAUAAUUAGGCUUAUGUCGUGGGGAAGUUCUGCAUGUAAGUUGAGGACCUGAGGAGUGAAUUUGACACUCCAUUUGUUUGAACCCUGGUAGAUUGUUGAGCUCUAUAGAGCGGAUGGUGAUGGAGAUGAAGAAAUUACUCUACAGAGCGGAAAGGGAGUUCAUGUGUAAAGCUUAUUUUCGUCUUCUUCCUUCUUUUUUUAUUUUAAAAUGAUAUGAUUCCAGAAAAUUAAGAAACAAUUCUGGGGCCGAGGACUUGAUGGAAGCGCAAGGACACCAGCAAUGCACGAGGCUGAUUCUAGUCCACUGACUUGGGAGGAGAUCUUAUCUUUCCGCUUCCGCCCCAAAGAAACGGCAAAGGCAGGAGUGGGACCUUCUUGUUUAUUUGAGGUGAAAAUCAACCGCUCAGAUUCCAGUUUUCAGGAAAAGAACAAGAAAUUCUGAACCCUUCAAUUCUACGUCGCGACACCGGCCCGACCCCAAUGCUUGAAACUUCAAUUAGUCCUUGCUCCUUCAACAGAGAGCAAGCAACUGGGAAUCUCAUUGCUUCUUGUACCUGUCCUGUCCAGCGUAAGCAAAUCAGGAAUUUCUCGUUGCUGCCUACGCUUUCUGGUCGAAAUCAUUUAUUUAAC